This 441-nucleotide unclassified non-coding RNA is filed under the name uncultured Nostocaceae cyanobacterium. RNAcentral describes it as "partial contains 16S ribosomal RNA and 16S-23S ribosomal RNA intergenic spacer". The stretch from base 1 to 119 matches the Rfam family "Bacterial small subunit ribosomal RNA", at positions 1415 to 1533 of the family's 1533-position model. The record is from RNAcentral. Lineage: Bacteria; Bacillati; Cyanobacteriota; Cyanophyceae; Nostocales; Nostocaceae.
UCACGCCCGAAGUCAUUACCUCAACCGCAAGGAGGGGGAUGCCUAAGGCAGGGCUAGUGACUGGGGUGAAGUCGUAACAAGGUAGCCGUACCGGAAGGUGUGGCUGGAUCACCUCCUUUUAGGGAGACCUAAUCCAUUUAGAAAUCGAAAACAAUGAAAAUUGUCAAUAGAAACUAAAGUGGUCUAACCUAGGUCGUUCGAGAUUGGUAGAUAUCUUUCAAAGUAUUAUUCGGCUUCGUUCAAAACCAUAUAUAAAUGGAAAAAGACAGCACCUAAUUGUCAAAGUUAGACUGCUGGAUGAAAUUCCAGCCAGAACCUUGAAAACUGCAUAAGAGAACGAGAAAAAGCAGGCAGACACAGACAUUUAGAUGGAUGUGGAAGCAAAGAAAAAUUGUGGUCAAGCUAAUAAGGGCUAAUGGUGGGUACCUAGGCACACAGAGG